ACAUUGGUGGUUUUGUGGUAGAAUACCCACCUUUUAGGCAGGAGACCCAGGUUUGAUUCUCAGCCGAUGUA
Molecule: transfer RNA, 71 nt
Filed under: Loxodonta africana (African savanna elephant)
Lineage: Eukaryota; Metazoa; Chordata; Mammalia; Proboscidea; Elephantidae
Rfam family: tRNA
About the family: Transfer RNA (tRNA) molecules are approximately 80 nucleotides in length. Their secondary structure includes four short double-helical elements and three loops (D, anti-codon, and T loops).
Source: Rfam by way of RNAcentral